Lipotes vexillifer (Yangtze River dolphin) is the source of this 74-nucleotide non-coding RNA. The record is from the annotation of a RefSeq genome assembly. Lineage: Eukaryota; Metazoa; Chordata; Mammalia; Artiodactyla; Lipotidae.
UCCCUGGUGAUCCAGUGGUUGGGACUCUGCACUCCCAAUGCGGGGGCGCCCAGGUUCGAUCCCUGGUCAGGGAA